This 520-nucleotide long non-coding RNA is filed under the name Bos taurus (domestic cattle). RNAcentral's name for it is "long non-coding RNA NONBTAT013769". The record is from RNAcentral. Lineage: Eukaryota; Metazoa; Chordata; Mammalia; Artiodactyla; Bovidae.
GGAUGUAACAUAAUUUAUAUAUCCAUUAAACAGGAUGUCACAGAAGAAAUUUUCAUUGCUUGGGAAAAGAUUCAUGAAUUAUCAUUAAAUGAAUAAAUAAAGUUUCCAAAAAUAUUUUCCAUGAGAUUUCAUUUUAUAAAACUAUAUAGAUCUCACACAUACACACAUCUUGGUUUUACAGAUAUUCUGUCCAAGUUGCUAACCCAUAAAUUUGUAUAACAUACUUUGAUAAUGGUAUCUAAAUGAAGUACAGCAGUUUACAUCUUAUUUAUUAAAAUUUAUGUAUUUUAGCACAGUUUAACACCUUAUAGCAACUCAGGGAAAAAUGCAUUUUAGUAUCAUUUCCCUAGUAGUUUUUAAAUCAUGAGACAUAAUGAUUUAAAAAAAAAAUCAGUGGGGGUGGGGGCAAAAAUCCAAAGUCAUUAGGAAGGUGUGAUUAGCCACAAAUAUAGAUCCUCAUUACAAAGUGUUAUAUCCUUGGGCUGCCGAGUCAUUCAGUACCUGCAUGCACGAUGCUCGU